RNAcentral lists this long non-coding RNA (1001 nucleotides) under Capsella rubella. RNAcentral's name for it is "long non-coding RNA (CRUB_LNC004724)". Lineage: Eukaryota; Viridiplantae; Streptophyta; Magnoliopsida; Brassicales; Brassicaceae. The record is from RNAcentral.
AAAUUUAAAUGGAGGAUUAAUUUGGUUAAAAAUGAAGGAAAAAAUAGAACUAAACAUAUGGUAUGGAAUCAAAUACCUAUCUUUUUUCAUAAACCUGAUGACAUAUUCAAACAAAGCGUAAAUGAAACAUGAAAGUUACUACUACGUACUAGAUUACAAAUUAAACUAACAUAUAAGGUUACUAACUUUUACUAAACCAAGAAAAUCAGACAGCCAAACCCGGAACAAUCCAAGAUUGGAGGUACCCUAGCUGAGCUGUUCAAGUCAGACAUGGACCAAAUUAAAUACAAAUGGUAUGUAUAAACGAAGUAAGAUGCAAAUUCAAGGCGGAAUCUCUUUUUUUUUUUUUUUGGGAAAAUGAACCACAGUUUAAAAGAAUCUACAACUUGAUUAUGAAUGAAUGAAUAAGUGACAAAAAAAAAAAGAGAGAGUAAAAUUCAGCGAAAAUUAAUUGGUGAAUUCAUCUUACAAUAGAGAAUAACAUCUUUAAUCUUCUCAUCCCUGUCUUCAUCUACCAUCGCACUACCUCCCGACGAAUUAGUCGGAGAGGAUUUUAUAGAGUGAAUGGAGCUGCUCUUCCUCGUCGCUUUAUUAGAUCUCGCCUCUCGUUGAUCCCCUUCUGUCGCCGCAUCAAAACACAUACACAGCCGCAUAAAUGGUUUCAGGAAUCCAAAGCUUCUUCCACUUUUUUUUGGUUGUGACAUUAUUCCAAAGAUUGACAAAAGGUUGAUCGUUACACUCAAAGUCUAACGAAUCUUACAAAGAAGGUUGUGUUGUGUCUAGAGUCUAGAGAUGUAAAAUGUAGAAGGAUUUAUGUGUAUCUUUUAGUUUCCUAUAGAUUAGGGAUAAUGACUAUAUAUAAACAUAGAAAAUUUAAAUACAAUUUUUGUGUUUUGACUCUUUAGUAAUCUUGUUACUAUAACAAAAAAAAGGUAAUUAUGCAAAAUUAUAAAGGCUUCUACUGUUAACCAUUAGAGGAACAAAAGGAAAAAGAACAAAAA